AAACAUCUCACCAUCUCUGGUGGUGGACGAUGGAUGAUUUGAGCUGCCUGGCAGCCCAAUCGUCUGAAAAUGAUUGUGCGCGCUCCGACUGUUGUCGGUUGGCUCUAAAGGUGCAACAAGAUUAACAUCUAUUCGCCUCUCGAGUUCAAUCAUAUGCAACAUUGGUAGUGUGUACUCCAACAAUUACAAGGUUGGGAAGCUGAGCUGAACAACCUGUUA
RNAcentral lists this unclassified non-coding RNA (219 nucleotides) under uncultured Ascomycota. Its description in RNAcentral is "sequence contains ITS2". The record is from RNAcentral. Lineage: Eukaryota; Fungi; Ascomycota.